UGGCUCCUACGGGGGGCAGCAGUGAGGAAUAUUGGUCAAUGGUCAGGAGACUGAACCAGCCAAGCCGCGUGAGGGAGGAAGGUACAGAGUAUCGUAAACCUCUUUUGUCAGGGAACAAAGACUGGGACGCGUCCCCGGAUGAGUGUACCUGAAGAAAAAGCAUCGGCUAACUCCGUGCCAGCAGCCGCGGUAAUACGGAGGAUGCGAGCGUUAUCCGGAUUUAUUGGGUUUAAGGGGUGCGCAGGCGGUCUGUUAAGUCAGCGGUCAAAGCCCGGGGCUCAACCCCGGCCCGCCG
This 295-nucleotide ribosomal RNA is filed under the name uncultured bacterium. Its description in RNAcentral is "partial 16S ribosomal RNA". It matches the Rfam family "Bacterial small subunit ribosomal RNA", at positions 333 to 626 of the family's 1533-position model. The record is from RNAcentral.